AGGGCACCACCAGGAGUGGAGCCUGCGGCUUAAUUUGACUCAACACGGGAAAACUCACCCGGCCCGGACACUGGAAGGAUUGACAGAUUGAGAGCUCUUUCUUGAUUCAGUGGGUGGUGGUGCAUGGCCGUUCUUAGUUGGUGGAGCGAUUUGUCUGGUUAAUUCCGAUAACGAACGAGACUCUAGCCUACUAAAUAGAUCCAAGGCUUACAAACGCCUUGGAGACUUCUUAGAGGGACAGGCGGCGAUUCAACCGCACGAAACAGAGCAAUAACAGGUCUGUGAUGCCCUUAGAUGUCCGGGGCCGCACGCGCGCUACACUGAAGGGAUCAGCGUGUCUUCCCUUCCCGAGAGGGACGGGUAACCCGCUGAACCCCCUUCGUGGUAGGGAUCGGGGCUUGCAAUUAUUCCCCGUGAACCAGGAAUUCCCAGUAAGCGCAAGUCAUAAGCUUGCGUUGAUUACGUCCCUGCCCUUUGUACACACCGCCCGUCGCUACUACCGAUUGAACGUUUUAGUGA
This 519-nucleotide ribosomal RNA is filed under the name uncultured eukaryote. RNAcentral describes it as "bacterial SSU rRNA". It matches the Rfam family "Eukaryotic small subunit ribosomal RNA", at positions 1161 to 1704 of the family's 1831-position model. The record is from RNAcentral.